UAUUAAGCAAUGAUGAAGAGUAGUAAUCUAAUGGAACACUCUAGAGAGCUGAUGGCAGGUGCAAAUCAGUGUGAUUGUGUUAGAUGAAUGGACUUCUAAGCUUCCAAACCGAACCAAAAUAAUGCAGUAGGCUUUGGCGAAUUCGUCUCAUCGUUACCUGAGACAAAUAGCAGUGUGAGCAGUCUGCUAUUGUCAAAGUGAGUUGCAUUGCAGCUAAUAAAGGUGGUACCACGGUCCCUCGUCCUUUUC
This 249-nucleotide non-coding RNA is filed under the name Virgibacillus pantothenticus. RNAcentral's name for it is "T-box sequence". It matches the Rfam family "T-box leader". From Rfam's summary of the family: Uncharged tRNA acts as the effector for transcription antitermination of genes in the T-box leader family. T-boxes are found upstream of many aminoacyl-tRNA synthetase genes and some amino acid biosynthetic genes usually in Gram-positive bacteria. Lineage: Bacteria; Bacillati; Bacillota; Bacilli; Caryophanales; Bacillaceae. The record is from RNAcentral.